RNAcentral lists this non-coding RNA (24 nucleotides) under Arabidopsis thaliana (thale cress). The record is from RNAcentral. Lineage: Eukaryota; Viridiplantae; Streptophyta; Magnoliopsida; Brassicales; Brassicaceae.
AGAUAGGUCCAAACGGCUCGAGAA